RNAcentral lists this ribosomal RNA (465 nucleotides) under Vreelandella stevensii. RNAcentral describes it as "partial 16S ribosomal RNA". It matches the Rfam family "Bacterial small subunit ribosomal RNA", at positions 338 to 795 of the family's 1533-position model. The record is from RNAcentral. Lineage: Bacteria; Pseudomonadati; Pseudomonadota; Gammaproteobacteria; Oceanospirillales; Halomonadaceae.
CCUACGGGGGGCAGCAGUGGGGAAUAUUGGACAAUGGGCGAAAGCCUGAUCCAGCCAUGCCGCGUGUGUGAAGAAGGCCUUCGGGUUGUAAAGCACUUUCAGUGGGGAAGAAAGCCUUGGGGCUAAUACCCUCGAGGAAGGACAUCACCCACAGAAGAAGCACCGGCUAACUCCGUGCCAGCAGCCGCGGUAAUACGGAGGGUGCGAGCGUUAAUCGGAAUUACUGGGCGUAAAGCGCGCGUAGGCGGUCUGAUAAGCCGGUUGUGAAAGCCCCGGGCUCAACCUGGGAACGGCAUCCGGAACUGUCAGGCUAGAGUGCAGGAGAGGAAGGUAGAAUUCCCGGUGUAGCGGUGAAAUGCGUAGAGAUCGGGAGGAAUACCAGUGGCGAAGGCGGCCUUCUGGACUGACACUGAUGCUGAGGUGCGAAAGCGUGGGUAGCAAACAGGAUUAGAUACCCCAGUAGUC